This 479-nucleotide ribosomal RNA is filed under the name uncultured bacterium. RNAcentral describes it as "partial 16S ribosomal RNA". It matches the Rfam family "Bacterial small subunit ribosomal RNA", at positions 28 to 523 of the family's 1533-position model. The record is from RNAcentral.
GACGAACGCUGGCGGCGUGCUUAACACAUGCAAGUCGAACGGUAAGGCCCUUCGGGGUACACGAGUGGCGAACGGGUGAGUAACACGUGGGUGAUCUGCCCUGCACUUCGGGAUAAGCCUGGGAAACUGGGUCUAAUACCGGAUAGGACCACUGCCUGCAUGGGUGGUGGUGGCAAGCUUUUGCGGUGUGGGAUGGGCCCGCGGCCGAUCAGCUUGGUGGUGGGGUGAUGGCCUACCAAGGCGACGACGGGUAGCCGGCCUGAGAGGGGUGACCGGCCACACUGGGACUGAGAUACGGCCCAGACUCCUACGGGAGGCAGCAGUGGGGAAUAUUGCACAAUGGGCGCAAGCCUGAUGCAGCGACGCCGCGUGAGGGACGACGGCCUUCGGGUUGUAAACCUCUUUCAGCACCGACGAAGCGCAAGUGACGGUAGGUGCAGAAGAAGGACCGGCCAACUACGUGCCAGCCGCCGCAGUAA